GAUGAACGCUAGCGGCAGGCCUAACACAUGCAAGUCGAGGGGUAACAUAGAAAAGCUUGCUUUUCUGAUGACGACCGGCGCACGGGUGCGUAACGCGUAUACAACCUACCUUUUAGCGGGGAAUAGCCCAGGGAAACUUGGAUUAAUGCCUCAUAGUAUAUAAGCUUCUCCUGAAGUUUAUAUUAAACAUUUAUGGCUAUUAGAUGGGUAUGCGUCCUAUUAGUUAGCUGGUAAGGUAACGGCUUACCAAGGCAGCGAUAGGUAGGGGUCCUGAGAGGGAGAUCCCCACACUGGUACUGAGACACGGACCAGACUCCUACGGGAGGCAGCAGUGAGGAAUAUUGGACAAUGGGCGAGAGCCUGAUCCAGCCAUGCCGCGUGCAGGAAGACUGCCCUAUGGGUUGUAAACUGCUUUUACAGAGGAAGAACCACCCCCACGUGUGGGGGUUUGACGGUACUCUGCGAAUAAGGAUCGGCUAACUCCGUG
RNAcentral lists this ribosomal RNA (487 nucleotides) under uncultured bacterium. Its description in RNAcentral is "bacterial SSU rRNA". It matches the Rfam family "Bacterial small subunit ribosomal RNA", at positions 28 to 507 of the family's 1533-position model. The record is from RNAcentral.